UACAGAGGGGGCAAGCGUUGUUCGGAAUUACUGGGCGUAAAGGGCGCGUAGGCGGCCUUCUAAGUCGAACGUGAAAUCCCCGGGCUCAACCCGGGAACUGCGUCCGAUACUGGAAGGCUUGAAUCCGGGAGAGGGAUGUGGAAUUCCAGGUGUAGCGGUGAAAUGCGCAGAUAUCAGGAGGAACACCGGUGGCGAAGGCGGUUCUCUGGGCAUUACCUGACGCUGAGGAGCGAAAGCAUGGGGAGCGAACAGG
Molecule: ribosomal RNA, 253 nt
Filed under: uncultured bacterium
Lineage: Bacteria
Description: partial 16S ribosomal RNA
Rfam family: Bacterial small subunit ribosomal RNA
Source: RNAcentral